UACGGAGGAUCCGAGCGUUAUCCGGAUUUAUUGGGUUUAAAGGGAGCGUAGGCGGGUUGUUAAGUCAGUUGUGAAAGUUUGCGGCUCAACCGUAAAAUUGCAGUUGAUACUGGCAUCCUUGAGUACAGUAGAGGUAGGCGGAAUUCGUGGUGUAGCGGUGAAAUGCUUGGAUAUCACGAAGAACUCCGAUUGCGAAGGCAGCCUGCUGGACUGUAACUGACGUUGAUGCUCGAAAGUGUGGGUAUCAAACAGG
RNAcentral lists this ribosomal RNA (253 nucleotides) under uncultured bacterium. RNAcentral describes it as "partial 16S ribosomal RNA". It matches the Rfam family "Bacterial small subunit ribosomal RNA", at positions 524 to 776 of the family's 1533-position model. The record is from RNAcentral.